Molecule: transfer RNA, 72 nt
Filed under: Camelus ferus (Wild Bactrian camel)
Lineage: Eukaryota; Metazoa; Chordata; Mammalia; Artiodactyla; Camelidae
Rfam family: tRNA
About the family: Transfer RNA (tRNA) molecules are approximately 80 nucleotides in length. Their secondary structure includes four short double-helical elements and three loops (D, anti-codon, and T loops).
Source: Rfam by way of RNAcentral
UAAGGUAUAGCUCAGUGGUAGAGUUUGCACUUAGCAUGCAUGAGGGCCUGGGUUCAAUCCCCAGUACCUCUG